GCCCGGUUAGCUCAAUCGGUAGAGCGUGAGACUCUUACUACAAGUAGAGUUCACAUCUCAAGGUUGCGGGUUCGACCCCCGCAUCGGGCU
RNAcentral lists this transfer RNA (90 nucleotides) under Aulographum hederae CBS 113979. It matches the Rfam family "tRNA". From Rfam's summary of the family: Transfer RNA (tRNA) molecules are approximately 80 nucleotides in length. Their secondary structure includes four short double-helical elements and three loops (D, anti-codon, and T loops). Further hydrogen bonds mediate the characteristic L-shaped molecular structure. tRNAs have two regions of fundamental functional importance: the anti-codon, which is responsible for specific mRNA codon recognition, and the 3' end, to which the tRNAs corresponding amino acid is attached (by aminoacyl-tRNA synthetases). tRNAs cope with the degeneracy of the genetic code in two manners: having more than one tRNA (with a specific anti-codon) for a particular amino acid; and 'wobble' base-pairing, i.e. permitting non-standard base-pairing at the 3rd anti-codon position. Lineage: Eukaryota; Fungi; Ascomycota; Dothideomycetes; Aulographales; Aulographaceae. The record is from Rfam by way of RNAcentral.